UACGUAGGGUGCGAGCGUUAAUCGGAAUUACUGGGCGUAAAGCGUGCGCAGGCGGAUGUUUAAGUCAGAUGUGAAAUCCCCGGGCUUAACCUGGGAAUGGCAUUUGAAACUGGACGUCUGGAGUGCGGCAGAGGGGGGUGGAAUUCCACGUGUAGCAGUGAAAUGCGUAGAGAUGUGGAGGAACACCGAUGGCGAAGGCAGCCCCCUGGGCCUGCACUGACGCUCAUGCACGAAAGCGUGGGGAGCAAACAGG
Molecule: ribosomal RNA, 253 nt
Filed under: uncultured bacterium
Lineage: Bacteria
Description: partial 16S ribosomal RNA
Rfam family: Bacterial small subunit ribosomal RNA
Source: RNAcentral